This 1482-nucleotide long non-coding RNA is filed under the name Bos grunniens (domestic yak). Its description in RNAcentral is "lncRNA (ENSBGRG00000008968.1)". Lineage: Eukaryota; Metazoa; Chordata; Mammalia; Artiodactyla; Bovidae. The record is from RNAcentral.
AAUCUUUUAAUUUCAUGGCUGCAGUCACCAUCUGCAGUGAUUUUUGAGCCCCCCAAAAAUAAAGUCUGUCACUGUUUCCACUGUUUCCCCAUCUAUUUGCCAUGAAGUGAUUACUAAUUAUUAAUUUAUUAUUUUUUUACUGUGCUGGGUCUUUGUUGCUGCAUGGGCUUUCUCUAGUUGCAGAGAGCAGGGGCUACUCUCUAGCUGCAGUGUUCCAGCUUCUCAUGGUGAUAACUCCUCUUGUUGUGGAGCACGGGGCUCAGUAGUUGUGGCGCACAAACUUAGUCGCUCUGCAGCAUGUAGGAUCUUCCCGGACCAGGGAUCAAAUCAGUGUCCCUUGCAUUGGAAGGCAGAUUCUUAAGCACUAGACCACCUGGGAAGCCCUACAACAUAUAUCUUAACAUAGUAAAAUCUACUUACAGAUUUUUAAUAACUUAAAUCUAGUAAAAUAUAGAAACUUUGCUCCAAUAAGCUCACUUCUUCCCCACCUUUGUACCAUUACUAUUAUAUAUUGUAUAUCUAUACAUGUUAUGAACACAAAAAUAUUGAGUAAUAAUUAUUUCUAUAUAAAUAUUUUUAAAUAAUUUAAGAGAAUACAGGAUAAAAAUACAGAAUCUUUUAUAUUCACCUUCCUAUUUACCAUUUCUAGCAUUCUUCAUUUCUUCUUACAGAAAUGAGUUAUUUAUCUGGUGUCAUUCCCCUGCCUCAGAAUAGAUCUACUCCUUCUCCCUUGCUUUGUGCUAUUGUUGUUAUAUAUGUUGCAUCUUUAUAUAAUUCAAACAAUAUUAUUUUUAAUUGGUAUUUUAUGCAAUGAUUUCUUUAAAUCAGUUAAGAGAAAAAAAGAGAAUAUAUGUUGGCCAAUCCCAUAUUUAUGGAGCCAGACUUCCUGGGUUUAAAUCUCUCCUCUGCCACUUACUGGGGCUUUCUAGGUGGCACAGAAGUAAAGAAUCCACCUGCCAAUACAGGAAACGCAGGAGAUGCAGGUUUGAUCCCAGGUUUGGGAAGAUUCUCCAGAGUAGGAAAUGGCAACCCACGCCAGUAUUCUUGCCUGGAAAAUUCCAUGGACAGAGGAGCCUGGUGGGCUACAGUCCAUGCGAUUGCAGAGUCGGACACUAAUGAGCACAAGCAAACAACAGCCACUUAUUAGCUGUGUGACCUUGGGCAAAUUACAUAGUUUAUCUGUGCCUCAGUUCUUUUAUCUGGAAAAAAAAGAUAUAAUAGUAGUACCUACUAUAUAAGGUUUCUCUGUUGGUAUGAAAUUAGUUAUUUUUUAAGUGUUUGGAAGGGGCCUGACACAAGUAUCUACUAUAUAUGUUUGUUAGACACAUAAAUUGCCAGCUGGGAAACUUACUAGCCAUGUGAUCUUAGGCAUGGAUGUCUUCAUCUUGAAGAUAAGGACAACAGUACCUACAAAAUGUGGUUAAACUUAUACAUUCAUGGUAGAAGUACAAAUUGUAGCUAGGCUUUUGGAAAACAAUUUGU